AUACAUGCAAGUCGAACGCGCAGCGAAAGGUGCUUGCACCUUUCAAGCGAGUGGCGAACGGGUGAGUAACACGUGGAUAACCUGCCUCAAGGCUGGGGAUAACAUUUGGAAACAGAUGCUAAUACCGAAUAAAACUUAGUAUCGCAUGAUACAAAGUUGAAAGGCGCUACGGCGUCACCUAGAGAUGGGUCCGCGGUGCAUUAGUUAGUUGGUGGGGUAAAGGCCUACCAAGACAAUGAUGCAUAGCCGAGUUGAGAGACUGAUCGGCCACAUUGGGACUGAGACACGGCCCAAACUCCUACGGGAGGCUGCAGUAGGGAAUCUUCCACAAUGGGCGAAAGCCUGAUGGAGCAACGCCGCGUGUGUGAUGAAGGCUUUAGGGUCGUAAAGCACUGUUGUAUGGGAAGAAAUGCUAGAAUAGGGAAUGAUUCUAGUUCGACGGUACCAUACCAGAAAGGGACGGCUAAAUACGUGCCAGCAGCCGCGGUAAUACGUAUGUCCCGAGCGUUAUCCGGAUUUAUUGGGCGUAAAGCGAGCGCAGACGGUUGAUUAAGUCUGAUGUGAAAGCCCGGAGCUCAACUCCGGAAUGGCAUUGGAAACUGGUUAACUUGAGUGUUGUAGAGGUAAGUGGAACUCCAUGUGUAGCGGUGGAAUGCGUAGAUAUAUGGAAGAACACCAGUGGCGAAGGCGGCUUACUGGACAACAACUGACGUUGAGGCUCGAAAG
This 726-nucleotide ribosomal RNA is filed under the name Leuconostoc lactis. Its description in RNAcentral is "bacterial SSU rRNA". It matches the Rfam family "Bacterial small subunit ribosomal RNA", at positions 51 to 759 of the family's 1533-position model. The record is from RNAcentral. Lineage: Bacteria; Bacillati; Bacillota; Bacilli; Lactobacillales; Lactobacillaceae.